Molecule: unclassified non-coding RNA, 580 nt
Filed under: Hevea brasiliensis (rubber tree)
Lineage: Eukaryota; Viridiplantae; Streptophyta; Magnoliopsida; Malpighiales; Euphorbiaceae
Source: RNAcentral
GUUUUUUUUGGUAUGGGAAAAGGAUAUGUAUGGAUUUGAGCAUCUGAUGUCUUGCAUUAUUUCUCCAGUGGUGAAUGUCAAGUUAUUAGAGUAUGAACAGACUUAAUGAGUAAAUUGAGGAAGUUUGAUUAUUGGGAUAUAGAGUUGUUAAAUGUUAACAGUAUCAAAAUACCAGAAGAACUACUGAGUUGUUAAGGUUUCAGCUGAUGGUCAGGAGUACUGAAAAUCAACAAAUCAUCAAAGUAGAAGUAACACUGGUGACAAUGGUUCAAAUAAGUAUGGAUUUGGCUCACUAAGAGCCAAGCUCUAACCCUAAGGACUAGUAAUAAAUUCUUCCAUAUGGAAUAUAUGAAGAGGUGGUGCCACAUCCUUUGCUAAACUGACAAAGUAAAUUGUAACGUACUGUUAUGCAUCUGAGACAUGCAUGAAAUCAUUUGUAAAUAAGAUAAUUAAAAGGCCAUAUGAGAUACAUUGGAUGCUUCAUGGAAGAUGAAAUGACACUCAGUUGUUUUCUCUUUCCAUUAUUUGAUUAAGUAUGAAAAGGCAAAUUCCUCUGAAUUGCUUUUCUUUGUUUCUUUUU